CUCUUGGGAAGAUGAAGCUGUUUUUUCUUGUUACUCCCUUGCCUAGGAUUUACAAAGAUCUUAUUUUUCCUAAACUGAAGCUGCCCUGGUAAGUACUACAAACCACACCCAGGCGUGUGGCUGAAAGCAUACUCAGUUUUGGAAGGCAGACCCCAGUAUUCUGGCUUAAGGCAACUAUUGGAAAGGCUGUUCCAUUUAAGAGGCAAGGAAACAGGCACUUCAGUAGGACUUCCAGAGCCAAGAUGGUGAAAUGAGAAAGAAAAUCACUGAGCUCACCCAAAUUCACCUCCAAACAACUACUAAAAAAUGCUUCAAAAUGAAUUCUGGAGCUGCAGAACCAACAAAAAUAUGAGGUGAAUAAUUCUUUCACCCAACAUAAUGUCAGCAGGAAAGAUCCAUUUCACUGAAAUAAGAGGAAGACUGUGUGAUUCAAUAUGGGCCCACAAGGUAGCCAGGCCAUUCUCACAUACCACAGCAAGCCCCAGCACAAGAAGCUUGAGAUGGUGGCUCUUAUACUUCAGGAGAAGACUAGAAAAAUUAGCAAAAGACAAAAAUAUCUGACCAUGGAAAACAACUUUGGUGACAGGGAAGAUCAAAACACAGACCCAGAAGAGGACAACAAUGGCAAAGUAGAUACAUGUGAGGCCUCAGUGGAAAAUGUGAAAUAAUGGCAGGUCCAAAAACAAUGCAUGGAAAAUCUCAAAAGUGAUUUAAAAAAAAUCAAAUGGGAGGAGUAGAAAAAUUGGGAAAAUAAAUAAAAGUGAUGCAAAAGAA
This is a long non-coding RNA of Monodelphis domestica (gray short-tailed opossum), 774 nucleotides long. RefSeq lists it as uncharacterized. Lineage: Eukaryota; Metazoa; Chordata; Mammalia; Didelphimorphia; Didelphidae. The record is from RefSeq and is a predicted model, not a curated record.